GAAAUGCGAUAAGUAGUGUGAAUUGCAGAAUUCAGUGAAUCAUCGAAUCUUUGAACGCACAUUGCGCCCCUCGGUAUUCCGUGGGGCAUGCCUGUUCGAGCGUCAUCUACACCCUCAAGCUCUGCUUGGUGUUGGGCGUCUGUCCCGCCUCCUUCGCGCGCGGACUCGCCCCAAAUCCAUUGGCGGCGGCCCUUGCCUCCCUCUCGCGCAGCACAUUGCGCUUCUCGAGGCGCGGCGGACCGCGUCCAGCAAGCAACCGUCACACCGUCUUUGACCUCGGAUCAGGUAGGGAUACCCGCUGAACUGAAGC
Molecule: unclassified non-coding RNA, 310 nt
Filed under: plant metagenome
Description: partial contains 5.8S ribosomal RNA, internal transcribed spacer 2, and large subunit ribosomal RNA
Rfam family: 5.8S ribosomal RNA (bases 1-105)
Source: RNAcentral